Empidonax traillii (willow flycatcher) is the source of this 267-nucleotide long non-coding RNA. RefSeq lists it as uncharacterized. The transcript has 3 exons. NCBI's taxonomy places the organism in Eukaryota, Metazoa, Chordata, Aves, Passeriformes, Tyrannidae. The record is from RefSeq and is a predicted model, not a curated record.
AUAGGUUUUCACAGGUGUCCAAGCAGUGGUGAUGAGCAGAGUGCCUGUCUGCAGGGAUUGCAGUGUUGGCCAAGCCUUUUGUUGUUCCUUAAUCCUUCAGGAGACAUAAAAAUAAGGUCGAAUCAACAGCGUGGAGAAGAUAAUUUAAACAGUGGAAGGAGCUGAAAUUAUCUGGACCAAGGUCACAUUUCAACCUUUCUCAUGUAUGGAACAUUAAUGGGUCAGACAUUCUUUGUAGGAAGUAUUAAAACAAAUUAUAUGUAUAUA